Molecule: long non-coding RNA, 1516 nt
Organism: Oxyura jamaicensis (ruddy duck)
Lineage: Eukaryota; Metazoa; Chordata; Aves; Anseriformes; Anatidae
Exons: 2
Source: RefSeq, a predicted model, not a curated record
UUACAUUUUUUCCUUGUAUUUUUUUCUUUAAUCUCCUAUAGAGCCGCUCUUACUGUGUAACUCUGUUGAAGUACAUUUUUUACCUACAUACAGAUCCAAGAAUAAAUGUUGGCCCUGGCCAUGGAAUAUUCACUCACUUUCAAAACAGGGAUGUGACCUGCCUUCUCCUUCUGUGACUAACAGGGUGACCAGAGGCAGCGGAACAUACACCAGGAUUGGAAAGAAUAAAACCAGAGGGAAAGCAAGCUGUCAAGGGAACAGUGUACUGAAGAAGAAAAACGUAGACACGACUUCUAUUUACCAAGAUUAAUAUGUAAAGUUAACAUGUUUGUCAUGGAAUACAUUAAUAUGUAUAUCUUCCCAUUAUGUAGAUCUUUCCUUAUAUUACUUAUUAGAAAGUGAUAUAAUCACAAUGAUGGGGCAAGGACGUCACUUAAAAAUUAGGUGAUGCCCAGUCAACAUAAUACAACCACUAGUGUCAUUUCUGAUUUAGAUGUAGUGAUAUCAGUGUAAUUGCCGCUGGGAAGAAAUUAUAAUGGCUGUUAAUGAUAAAUAAAAUGACAAGAAGGAGGGUCCUCUUUCACAUGUAAUUCCAAACAAAAUUCAGCUACUGACUUCCUUAAGCAACUCGGUGCCAUUCAUUGACAAAGAAAAAAAUAAGCAGGUGUAGAUGCAUGGCCAUAAAAACUGCAGUAAUUUUCCAAGUCUAAACAUAGAUGCUAAAGGUCUAACAAGAUUUCACCACACUAUUUCCACUCGGGUAAGAUGAAGCAAUGAAUCUCACAUGAGGGGAAUAUUAACACAAAGUUAAGAUUAUUCUAACAAAAAGCACUAGAGCCGACAAACACAUAGGUAAGCAAAAAUACAGUAAAGGCACAUAUACAAUAUGUGGAUACUUUGCAUAGCCCCCACAAAUACUCCAGCUUUGUCUGUGUAAACACUGGCAGCCCUAACCCACAAGAAACUUUCCUACAUUGGUUUUAUAUUAUAGAGGUGUCUAGAGUGAGCUACUCAAAGCAUCAUUUACCCAUUGUGGACAGCUUGUUAGCUUAGUUGGGAGCAUAUUUCAAAUCAUUCAUCCAUUAAAAUUCAGAAAACCUAAGUUUUAUUACUAGUGCUAACAUUAAGAGCAAAGACUAUGCCUUCCCAUCUGUGAAGACCAAGAGUCCAAUCCUUUUCCUCCCUCUGAUUACAGAUGAAUUAAAACACAAUCAACACUAUACUUCACACCUCGUGAAUAAUACAGCUCCACUCUAUGAAAGCAUAAAAAACAACAGUAUGCUGUACAGAAUAGUAGGCAUCUAGGAAAGCAGGUAAGUAUAAGCAAAUCUGUAGUCACAUCUCAAUACUCCCAGUCUCCCACUACCCAAAGCUGGGAGACUGCCUAAUACAUAAAUGCCUGCCCUGUGUUUAAAAUGUCAGCCCCUCUUAAAAGGGUAAUAACACAUACCUGCCAUUUACUCUUCUUUCAGGGUCUUCAAAAAUCAAUAGGUAGAUGAUUUUGUAAGAGUUAAAU